RNAcentral lists this ribosomal RNA (522 nucleotides) under uncultured bacterium. Its description in RNAcentral is "bacterial SSU rRNA". It matches the Rfam family "Bacterial small subunit ribosomal RNA", at positions 988 to 1509 of the family's 1533-position model. The record is from RNAcentral.
CCAGAGAAUUUAGCAGAGAUGCUUUAGUGCCUUCGGGAACUCUGAGACAGGUGCUGCAUGGCUGUCGUCAGCUCGUGUUGUGAAAUGUUGGGUUAAGUCCCGCAACGAGCGCAACCCUUAUCCUUUGUUGCCAGCACGUAAUGGUGGGAACUCAAAGGAGACUGCCGGUGAUAAACCGGAGGAAGGUGGGGAUGACGUCAAGUCAUCAUGGCCCUUACGAGUAGGGCUACACACGUGCUACAAUGGCGCAUACAAAGAGAAGCGACCUCGCGAGAGCAAGCGGACCUCAUAAAGUGCGUCGUAGUCCGGAUUGGAGUCUGCAACUCGACUCCAUGAAGUCGGAAUCGCUAGUAAUCGUAAAUCAGAAUGUUACGGUGAAUACGUUCCCGGGCCUUGUACACACCGCCCGUCACACCAUGGGAGUGGGUUGCAAAAGAAGUAGAUAGCUUAACCUUCGGGAGGGCGUUUACCACUUUGUGAUUCAUGACUGGGGUGAAGUCGUAACAAGGUAGGCGUAGUGCU